GAUGAACGCUGGCGGCGUGCCUAAUACAUGCAAGUCGAGCGAACAGACGAGGAGCUUGCUCCUCUGACGUUAGCGGCGGACGGGUGAGUAACACGUGGAUAACCUACCUAUAAGACUGGGAUAACUUCGGGAAACCGGAGCUAAUACCGGAUAAUAUAUUGAACCGCAUGGUUCAAUAGUGAAAGACGGUUUUGCUGUCACUUAUAGAUGGAUCCGCGCCGCAUUAGCUAGUUGGUAAGGUAACGGCUUACCAAGGCAACGAUACGUAGCCGACCUGAGAGGGUGAUCGGCCACACUGGAACUGAGACACGGUCCAGACUCCUACGGGAGGCAGCAGUAGGGAAUCUUCCGCAAAGGGCGAAAGCUUGACGGAGCAACGCCGCGUGAGUGAUGAAGGUCUUCGGAUCGUAAAACUCUGUUAUUAGGGAAGAACAAAUGUGUAAGUAACUAUGCACGUCUUGACGGUACCUAAUCAGAAAGCCACGGCUAACUACGUG
This 497-nucleotide ribosomal RNA is filed under the name uncultured bacterium. Its description in RNAcentral is "partial 16S ribosomal RNA". It matches the Rfam family "Bacterial small subunit ribosomal RNA", at positions 28 to 507 of the family's 1533-position model. The record is from RNAcentral.